Bombina bombina (fire-bellied toad) is the source of this 513-nucleotide long non-coding RNA. RefSeq lists it as uncharacterized. The record is from RefSeq and is a predicted model, not a curated record. Lineage: Eukaryota; Metazoa; Chordata; Amphibia; Anura; Bombinatoridae. The transcript has 4 exons.
GAGUAGUUCAGUAUUCAACUGGCCUUUGUUCCCCUCCCAAGUCCCAUUUACUUCCUGUAGAGCUGUUGCUGGGUAUUCUUUACUUAAGCAGCAGCAAUGCACUACUGGGAGCUAGCUGAGCACAUAAGACACCGCCAGAGCACUGAGAGAUAUCAAGUAUUGAUGUAACUGGAGUGAAUAAGGGAACCUUCUACCUGAGCACAGACAUUGGAGCCUGUUAUCAGCAUGAACUCAUGUGUUAGACAAACACGUCAAUAGUUCAUAUCUAUCCUUCACUACAGGAAGCAACAGAAUCAUACCGCAAACUCCAUUAGUCUUAGACACCAAUGACUAUUCACAAACAUUGGGGAUAUCACAGCAGAUAUUUAAAGGAGAUGGUGAAUUUUCAGGAACAACAUUUAUGAGUUAUCUAGUGAAAUUAUUGUCCCUGAGGAUAAACCACACCUAUUUACUGAGUUUUCAAAACCUAUUAAAGAAAGGAAAAGUCUACAGUCAAGCCAAGUAAUUCAUACA